This 518-nucleotide ribosomal RNA is filed under the name Zerynthia polyxena. Its description in RNAcentral is "partial 16S ribosomal RNA". The stretch from base 390 to 518 matches the Rfam family "Bacterial large subunit ribosomal RNA", at positions 2473 to 2600 of the family's 2925-position model. The record is from RNAcentral. Lineage: Eukaryota; Metazoa; Arthropoda; Insecta; Lepidoptera; Papilionidae.
GUCUUUUUGUUAAUAAUUUAAAGUCUAAUCUGCCCACUGAUUUUUAAAAUUAAAGGGCUGCAGUAUUUUGACUGUACAAAGGUAGCAUAAUCAAUAGUCUCUUAAUUGGUGACUUGAAUGAAAGAUUUGAUGAAAUAUAAACUGUCUCUAUUAAAUUUAUAAAAUUUAAUUUUUUAGUUAAAAAGCUAAAAUUUUUUUAAAAGACGAGAAGACCCUAUAGAGUUUUAUAAUUUAUUUAUUUAUAAUUUUGUUUAAAUAUUAAAGUUAUAAAUAAAUAAAUUAUUUUAUUGGGGUGAUAGAAAAAUUUAAUAAACUUUUUUUAAAAUUUUUACAUUAAUUUAUGAAUAUAUGAUCCGUAAUUUACGAUUAAAAGAUUAAAUUACCUUAGGGAUAACAGCGUAAUUUUUUUUUUUAGUUCAAAUAAGAAAAAGAGUUUGCGACCUCGAUGUUGGAUUAAGAUAAAAUUUAAAAUGCAAAAGUUUAAAAUUUUUGAUCUGUUCGAUCAUUAAAAUCUUACA